Molecule: long non-coding RNA, 326 nt
Filed under: Androctonus crassicauda
Lineage: Eukaryota; Metazoa; Arthropoda; Arachnida; Scorpiones; Buthidae
Source: RNAcentral
UGAACACAUUGGAAUUCCAAACGGCAGUUAAAAGUAAUGCAUUGUGGGAUGGUAAAGGGAAACGGUGAAUUAUGGGAUACCAUACUACAAUUGAAUUGUGGGAUAUAUUUACAAAAUCUUCAAGAUGGAGAAAACAGAGGGAGUUUUAUUGUCACAAAUUACAGAUCUUAUAAAUAUUGAAAUGAGCUUAAUGCAAUGUAGAGUCAUGAUUCACCAAUAUAGAAGAAGAAGGAAACUAAGGAGAAUUAGAAUUCUAAAGCUUCAAUCUUUAUUAAUGCAGUUAUUACUGUUAUGCAAAGUUUUAAGGCACGCGAUCGCUUAUAUUG